Molecule: RNA transcript, 1663 nt
Organism: Numida meleagris (helmeted guineafowl)
Lineage: Eukaryota; Metazoa; Chordata; Aves; Galliformes; Numididae
Gene: ZFAND2B
Gene name: zinc finger AN1-type containing 2B
Exons: 8
Source: RefSeq, a predicted model, not a curated record
GCGGGGGUGGUGCCGGCCGCGUCCCCGCCCCGCGUGACGCCGGGACGGAAACGGGCGCGGCGCGGGCGGCCGGGAGAGGGGCCGCCAUGGAGUUCCCGGACCUGGGGGCUCACUGCUCGUGGGCCGCCUGCCAGCGCCUGGAUUUCCUGCCCCUCAAGUGCGACGCCUGCGAGCGGAUCUUCUGCACCGACCACGUCGCGUACGCCCAGCACGAGUGCACCUCCGCCUACAAGAAGGACGUGCAGGUGCCCGUGUGCCCGCUGUGCAACACGCCGGUGCCGGUGCGGCGGGGCGAGAUGCCCGACGUGGUGGUGGGAGAGCACAUAGACCGCGACUGCAGGUCCGACCCCGCGCAGCGCCAGCGCAAGAUCUUCACCAACAAGUGCUUGAAGCCGGGCUGCAAGCAGAAGGAGAUGAUGAAGGUGAUCUGCGAGCAGUGCCACAAGAACUACUGCCUGAAGCACCGGCACCCGCUGGACCAUGACUGCGCUGGGGCUGGGCGGCCGCUCUCUAAAGCGGGGCAUGCUGCACUCGCCAGGGCCCAGGCGUCCCCCCCCCAAGCCGGCAGCACGUCGAGCAGCGCCGCCCGGCCCGCAGGCAGCCCCCCCUGCCCUGCCCCUGCCAGAGGUGUGGGAGCGGCCGUGCCCCAGGCCCGCAGCACCUCCCCGCCAGCUGCCGUGCUGCAGAACGGGCUGAGCGAGGAGGAAGCGCUGCAGCGGGCACUGGAGAUGUCCCUGGCGGAGUCGGCACGCGGCUCGGCACAGCAGCCCAGGUACAGCUGGGGCACGUGGUGCCACCCCCGUGCACGCCUGGCUUGCGGGGCCGGGGGUGAUGCUGCCCACAGCACGGGGCUGCACCUGAUGGCCCUGCUCUGCAGGGUGCUGGGGAAAAGGGAAGAGCCCGGAGCUGCGGUUGAGCCCACUGCCGGGCAGGGACAGUGCCGGGCAGCGCAGGGGGAACACGCUGCUUCCUGACUGCUUGGCACUGACGGGCACAGCCAGAGGUGCGGGGGGCAGCCAGCAGCCCGUGGGCACGCUGCUCAGCACUGCUGAAUGGAACGAGAGCGUGCAGGCAGCCCCCUGCCCUCUGCUGCCCUGGGGGCGUAGGGGGGUGGGCACGUGGGGGUGCCAGGCACACGGUGUGCCGCUGUCCCCACAGCACGCAGGAGGAGGAGGACCUGGCGCUGGCGCAGGCACUGUCAGCGAGCGAGGCUGAGUACCAGCAGCUGCAGCGGCAGGCACACGGCUCAAAGCCAUCCAACUGCAGCAUGUCAUAGGCACGUGUGGGCUGUGCCGGUGGAUGUGGCAUCCCGCUCGUGGCACGAGGAGCGGCCGUGGCACCGCACGUGGACGCUGUGGGGCCCUGGCCUGGGUGCCACCAAGAGCUACCUGAUCUCCCCAGGGCUCUAAGCAAGCCACCGAGCGCGCACCGACAUCUCACCCUGCAUGCAGGCGGUGCAGCACGCUCCUGGAGAGGUGGGGGCUGCAGGGUGACCCGAGCGCAUGCUGAGCACAGCAGCUGCGGGCUGGGUCAUCUCCUUGGGAGGAGCCCAAAGGGGCAUCUGCGGGCGGUGCCGGGGGCUGGCGGUGCGUUGGGGUCGGGGCAAGGGAGUGCUGAUGUGUCAAAGUGCUGCUUGGGAGAAAAUAAAGGCACGGCCAAGGUA